GUCGAGAAUCUUCCACAAUGGGCGAAAGCCUGAUGGAGCGACGCCGCGUGACUGAAGAAGCCCUUCGGGGUGUAAAGGUCUUUUCUAUCCGAGGAAUUUUGACUUUAGGAUAGGAAUAAGGGGCCGCCAAACUCGUGCCAGCAGCGGCGGUGAUACGAGUGCCCCAAGCGUUAUCCGGAAUUAUUGGGCGUAAAGCGUCUGUAGGGGGUUUGAUACGUCUUCUGCAAAAUCCUACUGCUUAACAGUAGGCCCGUAGAGGAAACGGUCAGACUGGAGAAUGUGAGAGGCUGAUGGAACUCAGAGAGUAGGGGUGAAAUCCGUUGAUACUCUGGGGAACACCAAAGGCGAAGGCAUUCAGCUAGCGCAUUUCUGACCCUGAGAGACGAAAGCGUGGGUAGCGAACGGGAUUAGAAACCCGAGUAGUCC
This 426-nucleotide ribosomal RNA is filed under the name uncultured bacterium. Its description in RNAcentral is "bacterial SSU rRNA". It matches the Rfam family "Bacterial small subunit ribosomal RNA", at positions 354 to 796 of the family's 1533-position model. The record is from RNAcentral.